AUCCUGGAGCUCAUCUCACAGCUCUCUGGCGGCCAGGGGGAGGGGAGUCAUGUGGGAUCUUGCCUGGCCUCUUCCUUCAGCCAAAUGGAAUGGAUUUAGCCUGAGAAACUGGGACAUACAGGGGGCGAAAUACAUUUCAGCAUCAGCCACAGGGGACAAGCUAUCACUACAUAGACAGUAUUUGAUAUAAAAAGGUGUCAAAACUGAUCUCUAGGCUCUGUGUCAACAUGCGAACUCAAUGCUCCAUAAAUUUCACCCCAAAAAAUAUGAGCGACAGUGAAUUGGAGUAGAUCCAUCCAAGGAAACUGUGCCUUGCAGACCUGUUUCCCAGCCUAACUUCUUGGAAAAACGUAUGACCUCGUGCAGGCAGACUGCACCCGCCUGCCCCCCACUGCACAAGGAGAACAUGACUUGCCACUGCUUCAAACACAGGAAAGAUUUCAGCAGUGGACAAACUGCAAUUCUCAGUAUCUCAUGAUGGGUUUAUUCUGUUAGAAGCAUUUGGAUCAUUGCUGCCUCUAAGGAGUUAACAUUCUGGUUGAGAAGACAGAUGCAAAAAGAGAUCAGAAUAAUCAAUAAGGUAAAUGUAAUGAGGAGUACUGGCUAGUAUUGGAUCCUCAAGAUGGAGCUUGUAGGGCUUCAAGGAGAACUUUCCGGAAACACACACACAACAUUGGAAAGAAAUAGCUAAGCUGAGCCUUAAAGGAUGAGAAGGAGUCAACCACGUGGAGGAAGAGCCUGGAGAAGAGCAGUCCAGGUAGAGGAACAACCUGGGCAGAGAUGAGAAACACCAUCAUUCAUGAGGGGAGACCACAAGCAAUUUGUGAUCCUGGAGGCCAACGAGGCAGAGAGGAGUGGGGAAAGAGGAGCUGAGCAGUAACUACAGGGAAACAAACGAACAAACUUCUAUCCUGAAAGUUGACAAAUGUUCCUUUCUGAGCCAAGGUUCUGCUUCUGUUGAUCGUCUUAAGCCUCGGGAAAUCCCCCACCUGUAGGACUGGCCCUUGGGUUUCAUGUGUGUCAUGUGGGAUGUUCUUUCUGCUUCGUCUUAAUAUCAGAGUGACAGAUUACAGUGUGAAGGUCCCAGAGGUGGAGACACUCCUGCUGAGAAUCCACAUCGAAAAAUUCAGAAGCCUUGAGAAGUAAAGGUGAUCCAGAAAGAAUUUUGAGACUUUUUUUAAUAUGAUGAGGAAGAUGAAACCAGGAGACCAACUUCAUAUUGUUCCAGUAUUCCAAGCCAGCAAAAAGAGGAAAUCUCCCAAUCAUCUCUUGUGUAUUCACUUCAAGGAAGAAUUCUAAUUGACUCUGAUUUAAUCUCCUGUCUAACCUUGGGCCAGUCAUUGGAUAUAAGGGAGUGGAUAACUAAGAUUGUUUAGGCUUGGUCACAACCCUUUCCAUUUAACAUGGGACAGAGGGAUAGUGUAUUAGUCAGAGUUCUCCAGAGAAACAGAAACAAUAAGAGAUAUACAUCUAUAUAUAGAGAGAUUUAUUAUAAGUAAAUGGCCAAUUAUGGAAGUUGGCAAGUCCCAAGAUCUUUAGUGAGUCAACAAGCUGGAGACCCAAGAGAGUGGAUAGUAUAAUUCCAGCCCAAUUCUGAAACCCUGAGAAUCAGGAGAGCUGAUGGCAUAGUUCUAAUCCAAAGGUCAACAGGGUCAAAACCAAGGAUAGCCAAUGUUUCAGUUCAAGUCUGAAGACAGAAAAUAAACAAAUAUCCCAGUUCAAAGGAAGUCAGGCAUCAAAAAUUCCCUUACUUGGGGGAGAGUCAGCUUAUUUGUUUUAUUCAGGCCUCCAACUGGUUGGAUGAGGCCCACCCAGAAUAGGGAGAGCAAUUUGCUUUACCCAUUCAGCUGAUCUAAAUGUUAAUCUCAUCCAAAAACGCCCUCACAGAAACACCCAGGGUAGUAUUUGACCAAAUAUCUGGACAUCCUGUGGCCCAGACAAUUUGACUCAUAAAAUUAACCAUCAUAAAUACGUUACCAGAAGAAGGAAAAAAAGAGGACAAAAGGUAUUGAGCAGAUUUUUAAAAACAAUACUAUCAUAGAUUAUCAUUACUAAUAGUAGUUUCUUUGACUUCUAUAGAGAUGAUUACAAUAAGCCUAGAUUAAUUAUACCCAAAACCCUUGUGUAUUUCUCAAUUUCUGGCAGAGAUAGGUUACCAGGAUAUUGAUCCCAUUAGAAACUGUCUUGGUAGAGGAGGAAUCCUACUAGUACAAGGUUCUCAACCUUGAAUAUAUUGACAUCCGUGCUGGAAAAUUCUUUGUUGAGGGGUGUUGUCCUGUGUAGUGUAAGAUGUUUACAGCAUUCCUGACCUCUACCCACCAGAUGCCAGUAGCACCCAACCCCCUGCACCAUCCACCUUGCGACAAUCAAAAAUGUCUCCAGGCAUUGUCAAAUGUUCCCUGGGGAACAAAAUCUCCUCCCACCUCUGGCUGAGAAGAAUUAUACUAAUAGCUCCCGGCUAAGUAGUAAGUCAUACCUCUCUAUUCUUCACCCUUAGUCCCAAAUGAUGGAGGGCAUGCUGCCAUGCUGGGUUGGUUUUACAACUUUUUAACUCCCCCUGCCAUCCCUUCUACGCACACCCCAUUACACUGAAGCUCCCCAUCACUGGGGCACUGAACAAGCAUACUGUUGAGAAAAAACUGCAGGGUAUACAACUCAAGAUAUUUGGGGGUCUAGUCCCUCCUCUGGCACUGACUUGUGUAUGGCUGGGCAUCUCUUUUCUCUCCUGGCCUUGGUUUUCCAUAUUGGCAAAACGAGAAGAUGUCCUGUAAUUCUUCAUGUUACUCUAAAAUUGUUUGAUACAAAUUGAUGAGAUUUAAACUAUGAAAUGGAAAAUCACCAUACAGAAUUCACUGACUGAGUACUUUGUGACUAAGAUCCUAAAUUUCCCAUAAGCAUCUCUUUUGCUUCUUGGAAGUGAAGAUUGCAUUGGGUUACUUGAAUAAGGAACCUGGGCAAAAGUGAGGACUGACCUACAUCUGGAUUUCUGCUGCUACUUGAUGUUUUGUUUUGGGGUGUCACUCAAGAUUCCAUCUGUGCGUAGGAAAACAGUGUCAAGUGGAAAAUCAUUCAGUGUGGCUAAACGAUUGGGAGAUUGUGCAAAUUUAGGUGCCAGAGUAACGGGUACAUUACCAGAGUCGGGGGUAGUGGAAUGCAUAAUAAAACACAUAUUUCUAUAACUGGGUGAAUUAUUUCUCAUCUUUAUGUUUGAAAUUUAGAUAUAUGGGAGAG
Long non-coding RNA from Balaenoptera acutorostrata (minke whale), 3231 nucleotides. RefSeq lists it as uncharacterized. Lineage: Eukaryota; Metazoa; Chordata; Mammalia; Artiodactyla; Balaenopteridae. The record is from RefSeq and is a predicted model, not a curated record. The transcript is spliced from 5 exons.